RNAcentral lists this ribosomal RNA (253 nucleotides) under uncultured bacterium. RNAcentral's name for it is "partial 16S ribosomal RNA". It matches the Rfam family "Bacterial small subunit ribosomal RNA", at positions 524 to 776 of the family's 1533-position model. The record is from RNAcentral.
UACGUAGGUGGCAAGCGUUGUCCGGAUUUACUGGGCGUAAAGAGCGCGCAGGCGGUCGUUCAAGUCGCGUGUGAAGGCCCCCGGCUCAACUGGGGAGGGUCACGCGAUACUGAUCGACUCGAAGGCAGGAGAGGGAAGUGGAAUUCCCAGUGUAGAGGUGAAAUUCGUAGAUAUUGGGAAGAACACCGGUGGCGAAGGCGGCGAGCUGGUCCAUUACUGACGCUGAGGCGCGACAGCGUGGGGAGCAAACAGG